CUGCCAUGCUCCCUCGCGGUUCCCAUAAUUCCCAGCAUGGACAUAUCAUAAAGAAAUCACUACUCCAUGAUGUGUCCAUGCUGGGAAUUAUGGGAACCGCAAGGGAGCAUGGCAGUUA
This is a non-coding RNA of Pelobates cultripes (western spadefoot toad), 118 nucleotides long. Lineage: Eukaryota; Metazoa; Chordata; Amphibia; Anura; Pelobatidae. The record is from the annotation of a GenBank genome assembly.